Non-coding RNA from Phoenix dactylifera (date palm), 1494 nucleotides. NCBI's taxonomy places the organism in Eukaryota, Viridiplantae, Streptophyta, Magnoliopsida, Arecales, Arecaceae. The record is from RefSeq and is a predicted model, not a curated record.
UCCUCUCUCUCUUCCCCCCUCUGUGGCUCUCGUAUCCCACCCAAGCUCGGAGAGUUGAAGCUGCUCUAAUGGCGGACGGGGGGGAUGAGCCCGAGGAAGCCGCGGAGCUCCCGGAGAAGGAGAAGCUGGAGAUCGCCAAGUGGUUCCUCACCAACGCCCCUGCCGGCGAGAUUCACUACGUCGCCAAAGAUAUCCGAUCCGUUCUUGGGGACGAUAAAAUCUACGAAAUGGCGGCAACGGAGGCGUUUCCCGUGUACAACAAGGCCCAUUUGAUUGUUCUUGAGUUGCCCGACAGGAGCGGCGACGUAAUCAUUACAACAUAUGGGGAACUUGAUGAACACAAUUACUUUGAUCCCAGGACUGCUCAAGUAGCUACAGUGGAUCAUGUCAAACAAGUCUGUACGAAUUUGAGACCUGCCACUGAUGAAGAGCUCCCAUCUCCAUAUAUUGAAGAAUUUCGGUGUGCUCUGGAUGCUGAACUUUGCAAAUAUGUUGGUGAAGCUUAUCCAAAAGGAACAUGUGCAGUUUAUUGUACUCGUGGGAAAGAUGUGGAAGGACCAGGAGCUGAUUUUGAGUUUGCAGUAGUGAUUUCUGCCGCUAGACACAGCCCACAAAAUUUCUGCAAUGGGAGUUGGCGCUCAAUUUGGAAAUUGGAGUUCAAGGAUGAAUUGCAAGUCGUGGAAAUAAAUGGAAAGAUGCAGGUUGGUGCCCACUAUUUUGAAGAAGGAAAUGUUCAGCUGGAUGCAAACAAUGAAUGCAAGGACUCAACCAUCAUGCAGUCCCCUGAAGAUUGUGCUGUUUCGGUAACCAGCAUGAUUGGCCAUCAUGAGUCUGAGUAUAUGGCUUCUCUUGAGGCAUCGUAUCUAAAUUUGCCCGACACGACUUUCAAGGAUCUUCGAAGGAAACUUCCAGUUACUCGUACUCUGUUCCCAUGGAAUAAUACUUUGCAGUUCAGCCUUACCCGAGACAUUUCAAAAGAACUUGGAAUUGGAAAGUGAAGGAAGGUACAGGCCAGAGGGUUGUUAGCUGUGGACCAAAACAUUGGCACUCAAGGGUUGGCUUCAUAAAAUUCUUUUUUCAGAAGUUGUCUUCAAAUAAUUCAUUUCUAGCAAAGGUUCAGUGAUUACGUGCUUCUCCUGGAUACUCGACUUUUCUGUCUUGCUGGCGUGUAGCCUUUUUGAAUGCGAGAGCUGGUGGUGGUGACUCCAGGCUGAUUAAAGCAAUGAAAUUGCUCAAGCACUUGCAGAAGAAAGCCAAUCAGAAGAUCUAAUAUCACCAGGUCCUAGUGCAGAAGGUAGCCAGCUCAAAAGAUUUCCAAGUUUUCCCCUCCCCACAUUUUAUCAUCCUCGAUGAACUUGUACACCCUCUGGUUUUAUGUUUUUUUACACCGAAGUUUUUGUGGUUGAAUUUAUGACUCUGAGUAUCACCUUGUUGUCUUCUGUUCAUUAGUGUGAAAUUUAUAUCAAGAGUGCCAUGUUUGAAUAUUUGCAGCUU